AGUGAACGCUGGCGGUAGGCCUAACACAUGCAAGUCGAACGGCAGCACAGUAAGAGCUUGCUCUUACGGGUGGCGAGUGGCGGACGGGUGAGGAAUACAUCGGAAUCUACUUUUUCGUGGGGGAUAACGUAGGGAAACUUACGCUAAUACCGCAUACGACCUACGGGUGAAAGCAGUGGAUCUUCGGACCUUGCGCGAUUGAAUGAGCCGAUGUCGGAUUAGCUAGUUGGCGGGGUAAAGGCCCACCAAGGCGACGAUCCGUAGCUGGUCUGAGAGGAUGAUCAGCCACACUGGAACUGAGACACGGUCCAGACUCCUACGGGAGGCAGCAGUGGGGAAUAUUGGACAAUGGGCGCAAGCCUGAUCCAGCCAUACCGCGUGGGUGAAGAAGGCCUUUGGGUUGUAAAGCCCUUUUGUUGGGAAAGAAAAGCAGCAGGUUAAUACCCCGCUGUUCUGACGGUACCCAAAGAAUAAGCACCGGCUAACUUCGUG
This 492-nucleotide ribosomal RNA is filed under the name uncultured bacterium. RNAcentral describes it as "partial 16S ribosomal RNA". It matches the Rfam family "Bacterial small subunit ribosomal RNA", at positions 29 to 507 of the family's 1533-position model. The record is from RNAcentral.